UGGCUCGGCGGGUUCUCCCGCCAGAAGAUACAUCGGAACUCCUGUUUUAACGGUGUUGUCUGAACUACAAGCAACGAAUCAAAAGUUUCAACAACGGAUCUCUUGGUUCUGGCAUCGAUGAAGAACGCAGCGAAAUGCGAUAAGUAGUGUGAAUUGCAGAAUUCAGGGAAUCAUCGAAUCUUUGAACGCACAUUGCGCCCCUUGGUAUCCCGAGGGGCAUGCCUGUUCUAGCGUCAUUUCACCACUCAAGCCUGGGUUGGGGUUGGGCGACGUCCCCUUUAGGGACGCGCCUUGAAACGCUCGCGGCGUGGCACCGGCUUUAAGCGUAUCAGAAUCUUUCGCUUUGAAAGUCGGGGCCCCGUCUGCCGGAAGACCUACUCGCAAGGUUGACCUCGGAUCAGGCAGGGAUACCCGC
This 415-nucleotide ribosomal RNA is filed under the name Cenococcum cf. geophilum DL-2015. RNAcentral describes it as "eukaryotic LSU rRNA". The stretch from base 83 to 236 matches the Rfam family "5.8S ribosomal RNA". Lineage: Eukaryota; Fungi; Ascomycota; Dothideomycetes; Gloniales; Gloniaceae. The record is from RNAcentral.